RNAcentral lists this long non-coding RNA (2355 nucleotides) under Felis catus (domestic cat). RNAcentral describes it as "lncRNA (ENSFCAG00000053342.1)". The record is from RNAcentral. Lineage: Eukaryota; Metazoa; Chordata; Mammalia; Carnivora; Felidae.
GUAAUAAGGAAGGACAGGUAAUUUUGGAAAAACUGGGGUGGGAGGCCAAGAAGCAGGACGUCAUAUAACAUCGGCACCUCUCUGUCACAGCAGAUGUUUGAUUAGGUAAUUUCUCUGGCCUCUCUUUCCUUAGAUCCCGUUCUAUUAGGGAAUGAAACUGAGGAAGGAGAUCCAAGCCAUGCUGGGAAAUGAAGUCCUCUUCCCAGGUUGGCCACUAAUGAAAACCUCCAUCCAGAGAUCUAAGAAGCCCAUUAAUCAGGACUCAUCACAGAUCCUGACUUUGGAAAUAGAGACCUCCCCCCAGUCUAGUUCUUUUAGAUUCACAAUAAGCAUGUCUACACCAGGCCACAAUUAUACUGACUCCUUGGGCCCUAUCUACUGUCCUCAAACUCCAAACAGAAACAUAAACAAGAGUCAGGAAAAGCUACUGCCUUGGGUACCACUUCCACUGACAUGGGCUUGCUGUGGACUCCACCAUUGUUGGAGCUUCUGUCUGACACUCUGAAUUCCAUCAAGAAUCUAAUAGCCCCAGAAGAGGUAACGCCUAUAAAUGUCAUCCAAAGUGAAGCAUUUUUCCAGAAAGAAGUGAGAAAUUACAAGGGCCCAUGGGGGACACAAGAAACCAUGACAGAAGAAUCUCAGAAGACUUGAGACCAUCCCUGGUUUUUUGUUUGUUGGUCGGUUGGUUUGUUUUAUACAGACUGUUGCUUAGGAAGGUGUAAGCUUAGGAAAUUUCCUUAAUGCCUCUGACCCUCUAUCUUACUCUCCUCUCAAGGCCACUAGAAAGAGUAGAAUGAAGUGAUAUUGAAUGAAAUGUGGGUAUCUCCCCAUUUUGAAAAGUGGAAACUCUUUUAUCAAUAUGAGCUAUUAUUUUCUAAGGUAAUUUCCUGGUCUUGCUCGAGGCAGAUCUGACUCUUCAGAGGAAGACCAAGUACCAACCAGUUAACUGGAAGGAAAGUGAUGAUUUUAAAAGGAAGAGUAUCGUCUACGAAUAGUGUAUGUAUUCUUAUUUCCUUUGAAACACAACAAAAUAUAGGAGUUAAACUUCUAGAUAGUAAUCAAGGAACCUGCAUGACUCUGCACUUGCAGUGAUAGGUGCUUAAGGUAGAAGACACUUUAUGGUACGGUCACAGUAGCCCUAACCAACCCAUUGAUAGCCUUGAGUUAUUUUAGUUUGUUUGGACCUUAGCUUUGGUGUGAUCUUAACUGGCUUCCUUUCCAGAACUUCACUGUGUGUGAAAAGGUUUUGCUUUCAGUUGUUCAUUGAAUUAUUUCUGGUGUCCGAGUCAGAAGGAGACAGCCCUGGAAAAGAUCAAGAUUACAAAGCAAAGUCAUUUGAGGUGUUAGCCUUUGAUCCUCGGAGUUUGUAAAGAUGCACUUAUUAGACUCCAGACGCCCCCAGUCAGGCCAUGGAUUAACUGGACAACUGGAGGACUGUGGGUGAAUAGUACAAGAAGCAUGUCUAACAGAAAGAUGUUUCCACCUGGAAGAAUGGCUCCGUUCCAGCCCAGUUCCUUAUGGAUUUGUUAAUUGGAUUUGUUCUUGCAGUUAAGGCAAAUCACCAUAUAUGCUAGUUAGUGGUUUCAGGCACUGCACAAUUGGAAUUCUGCUCAAGGAAAGGUUGGCCAAAAAAGAAAAACACUUUCUCAAGAGGUUUACUCCUACUGGACCGAAAGAAAAUUUACAUGUUGAGCAGAGCCAGAAAGGAAAGUGAAAGUUCUGUACGUCUCAAUUUCACUACUUAGGAGAUUCAGAUGUGAUGUAUUUAAGCCUUCCCAUACAUGGGAAAGGCACUGGGCCAGGUAGUUCUGUGGAAAAAGUUCAUGCAUACAAAGUGUGUGGCCACAAACCCAGCACCUCAUGCCCCACGAAACACCGAAGCCGUAUAAUAACCCUUCAGAGUAAAUCACAAUGCUUAUUAGAAGAUGGUGUUACUGGCAUUGACACUGGUGAGCGCAGGUGUGCCUAAAAGAUCCCUAUACUGAAGUGUUCUUUCCACACUGGAUGUGUGGAGCUUUUUCAAUUUACAGAUGCAGCUUUUAUUGUCCAGCCAGAACAGCUGGUGCAAUUCAAGUGCGUCUGCGGUUGCCACCCUUGGAAGGUGUCACCUGGCCGUGGGGGGGCCUGACGGGACAUCGGUAAGAUCCGAGAGAAAGGAUGCAUGCGAUAGACCACUGAAGACCAUUCAAGACCAUUGAAGACCAUUGAAGACCAUUGAAUUCAAUUACAUUGAAUUGUAAACUCAGAAGACUAUAGGGUCAAAUGCAAGGUAAGAUCCCAGAUUGGAUCCUGGGACAGCAAAAGGACAUUCAUGGAAGAAACGGUGAAAUAUGAAUAAAGCCUGCAGUCCAGUCA